RNAcentral lists this ribosomal RNA (794 nucleotides) under human gut metagenome. RNAcentral describes it as "bacterial SSU rRNA". It matches the Rfam family "Bacterial small subunit ribosomal RNA", at positions 732 to 1520 of the family's 1533-position model. The record is from RNAcentral.
GGCCGUUACUGACGCUGAGGAGCGAAAGCGUGGGGAGCGAACAGGAUUAGAUACCCUGGUAGUCCACGCCGUAAACGGUGGAUGCUGGAUGUGGGGCCCGUUCCACGGGUUCCGUGUCGGAGCUAACGCGUUAAGCAUCCCGCCUGGGGAGUACGGCCGCAAGGCUAAAACUCAAAGAAAUUGACGGGGGCCCGCACAAGCGGCGGAGCAUGCGGAUUAAUUCGAUGCAACGCGAAGAACCUUACCUGGGCUUGACAUGUUCCCGACGGUCGUAGAGAUACGGCUUCCCUUCGGGGCGGGUUCACAGGUGGUGCAUGGUCGUCGUCAGCUCGUGUCGUGAGAUGUUGGGUUAAGUCCCGCAACGAGCGCAACCCUUGCCCCGUGUUGCCAGCGGAUUAUGCCGGGAACUCACGGGGGACCGCCGGGGUUAACUCGGAGGAAGGUGGGGAUGACGUCAGAUCAUCAUGCCCCUUACGUCCAGGGCUUCACGCAUGCUACAAUGGCCGGUACAACGGGAUGCGACGCGGCGACGCGGAGCGGAUCCCUGAAAACCGGUCUCAGUUCGGAUCGCAGUCUGCAACUCGACUGCGUGAAGGCGGAGUCGCUAGUAAUCGCGAAUCAGCAACGUCGCGGUGAAUGCGUUCCCGGGCCUUGUACACACCGCCCGUCAAGUCAUGAAAGUGGGCAGCACCCGAAGCCGGUGGCCUAACCCCUUGUGGGAUGGAGCCGUCUAAGGUGAGGCUCGUGAUUGGGACUAAGUCGUAACAAGGUAGCCGUACCGGAAGGUGCGGCUG